This 484-nucleotide ribosomal RNA is filed under the name uncultured bacterium. RNAcentral's name for it is "partial 16S ribosomal RNA". It matches the Rfam family "Bacterial small subunit ribosomal RNA", at positions 30 to 507 of the family's 1533-position model. The record is from RNAcentral.
AUUGAACGCUGGCGGCAGGCCUAACACAUGCAAGUCGAGCGGAUGAAGGGAGCUUGCUCCUGGAUUCAGCGGCGGACGGGUGAGUAAUGCCUAGGAAUCUGCCUUGUAUUGGGGGAUAACGUCCGGAAACGGGCGCUAAUACCGCAUACGUCGUGAGGGAGAAAGUGGGGGAUCUUCGGACCUCUCGCUAUCAGAUUAGGCUAGGUCGGAUUAGCUAGUUGGUGGGGUAAAGGCCUACCAAGGCGACGAUCCGUAACUGGUCUGAGAGGAUGAUCAGUCACACGGGAACUGAGACACGGUCCCGACUCCUAGAGGGAGCCGCAGUGCGGACUCUUAGACGAUGGGCGAAAGCGUGAUCCAGGCAUGCCGCGUGUGUGAAGAAGGUCUUAGGAUUGUAAAGCGAUUUAAGUUGUGAGGAAGGGAAGUAAGUUAAUCCCUUGCUGUUUUGACGUUACCAACAGAAUAAGCACCGGCUAACUUCGUG